AAAUAGGCCCAUCAUCCGGCCAUUCGCCCCUAGCUGUGCGCGACAGACACUAGCCAGGAUGUCCUGAUACUAUGCCACAAUACUCUGUUAGCCUAUCAGACAAGGUAUUCACAGCAAGUAACAUCUCAAAACCAAUGAUGAUAAUUGGGGUAGCCUUCAAAUAAAAACAAAAAAUGUAAAAUGCAAUUACAUCUGUAUUGAAAAUAA
Sander lucioperca (pikeperch) is the source of this 207-nucleotide long non-coding RNA. RefSeq lists it as uncharacterized. NCBI's taxonomy places the organism in Eukaryota, Metazoa, Chordata, Actinopteri, Perciformes, Percidae. The record is from RefSeq and is a predicted model, not a curated record. The transcript is spliced from 3 exons.